RNAcentral lists this ribosomal RNA (497 nucleotides) under uncultured bacterium. RNAcentral describes it as "partial 16S ribosomal RNA". It matches the Rfam family "Bacterial small subunit ribosomal RNA", at positions 28 to 507 of the family's 1533-position model. The record is from RNAcentral.
GAUGAACGCUGGCGGCGUGCCUAAUACAUGCAAGUCGAGCGAACAGAUGAGGAGCUUGCUCCUCUGACGUUAGCGGCGGACGGGUGAGUAACACGUGGAUAACCUACCUAUAAGACUGGGAUAACUUCGGGAAACCGGAGCUAAUACCGGAUAAUAUAUUGAACCGCAUGGUUCAAUAGAGAAAGACGGUUUUGCUGUCACUUAUAGAUGGAUCCGCGCCGCAUUAGCUAGUUGGUAAGGUAACGGCUUACCAAGGCAACGAUGCGUAGCCGACCUGAGAGGGUGAUCGGCCACACUGGAACUGAGACACGGUCCAGACUCCUACGGGAGGCAGCAGUAGGGAAUCUUCCGCAAUGGGCGAAAGCUUGACGGAGCAACGCCGCGUGAGUGAUGAAGGUCUUCGGAUCGUAAAACUCUGUUAUUAGGGAAGAACAAAUGUGUAAGUAACUAUGCACGUCUUGACGGUACCUAAUCAGAAAGCCACGGCUAACUACGCG